RNAcentral lists this ribosomal RNA (371 nucleotides) under uncultured bacterium. RNAcentral's name for it is "bacterial SSU rRNA". It matches the Rfam family "Bacterial small subunit ribosomal RNA", at positions 9 to 357 of the family's 1533-position model. The record is from RNAcentral.
GAGUUUGAUCCUGGCUCAGGACGAACGCUGGCGGCGUGCCUAACACAUGCAAGUCGAACGGAGAUAAACGCUGAUGAUUUAGCUUGCUAGAGAAUCUUGUUUAUCUUAGUGGCGGACGGGUGAGUAACGCGUGAGCAAACCUGCCUUUCAGAGGGGGAUAACGUCUUGAAAAGGACGCUAAUACCGCAUGACAUUGCGAGAUCACAUGGUUUUGCAAUCAAAGGAGCAAUCCGCUGAAAGAUGGGCUCGCGUCCGAUUAGGUAGUUGGUGAGAUAACAGCCCACCAAGCCGACGAUCGGUAGCCGGACUGAGAGGUUGAUCGGCCACAUUGGGACUGAGACACGGCCCAGACUCCACGGGAGCAGCAGUGA